CAAAACAAUGCAUAAGAAGUUUAAAAACACCCUUUGGAAAUCUUGAACAAUAUAAGUAAGUUCUCAAUUAUUCUAAAUACAUCUUAUUAACCUUAUAAAAUCCUAGACAUAUAUUAUCAUAUUCUGAUUAAUUCCAAAUAAAUUAUAAAUAUUCUUUGAUAAGCUUUAGCCAAAUCCUAAUUAAAUUCUAAUACAUUUCUAAUUUAAUUAUAAUUUUUUAUAAAACUUAAAAUAUAUUCUAAAUUAAUAAU
RNAcentral lists this long non-coding RNA (251 nucleotides) under Physcomitrium patens. RNAcentral's name for it is "long non-coding RNA (PPAT_LNC008493)". Lineage: Eukaryota; Viridiplantae; Streptophyta; Bryopsida; Funariales; Funariaceae. The record is from RNAcentral.